This 414-nucleotide ribosomal RNA is filed under the name Nannocoris sp. Nic 6312. RNAcentral's name for it is "eukaryotic LSU rRNA". It matches the Rfam family "Eukaryotic large subunit ribosomal RNA", at positions 696 to 1094 of the family's 3401-position model. The record is from RNAcentral. Lineage: Eukaryota; Metazoa; Arthropoda; Insecta; Hemiptera; Schizopteridae.
GGGUAAUAAAACCUAAAGGCGAAACAAAAGUAAAGAAAGCUUUGCUUUUUAAGGGAAGAUGGUUAAAUUUUAGCUCGCACUCCCGGGGCGUUAAUUACUCAUUGCGAGUAAAGGCGCACCUAGAGCGUACAUGUUGGGUCCCGAAAGAUGGUGAACUAUACCUGACCAGGAUGAAGCCAGGGGAAACCCUGGUGGAGGUCCGUAGCGAUUCUGACGUGCAAAUCGAUCGUCAGAGUUAGGUAUAGGGGCGAAAGACUAAUCGAACCAUCUAGUAGCUGGUUCCCUCCGAAGUUUCCCUCAGGAUAGCUGGUGCCGAUGAUGAUCAGAGUCCCUUUACUCGCAAUGAGUAAUUAACGCCCCGGGAGUGCGAGCUAAUUUUAACCAUCUUCCCUUAAAAAGCAAAGCUUUUCUUUA